CUCCAGGGGACCCCGUUUACACAGAACACAUUGUGAACGGCAGAAGUCGGUGACCUGCCUCCAUAGAUAGCAAGAAGAGACCCCAGAGAGCUAGCUUGCCAUUUGUGCAGUUUGAGGACACAAAUGAGAAGAUGGCUGUCCAUGAGGAAGCAUAUCCUGAAUCUGCCAGCAUACGGAUUUUGGACUUCCCAGCCCCUGAAACUCUUCAGAUCAGAUCAGAUCAGAUCAGUCGCUCAGUCGUGUCCGACUCUUUGCGACCCCAUGAAUCGCAGCAUGCCAGGCCUCCCUGUCCAUCACCAACUCCCGGAGUUCACUUAGACUCAC
Long non-coding RNA from Bos taurus (domestic cattle), 324 nucleotides. NCBI's taxonomy places the organism in Eukaryota, Metazoa, Chordata, Mammalia, Artiodactyla, Bovidae. The record is from Ensembl.